Molecule: ribosomal RNA, 253 nt
Filed under: uncultured bacterium
Lineage: Bacteria
Description: partial 16S ribosomal RNA
Rfam family: Bacterial small subunit ribosomal RNA
Source: RNAcentral
UACAGAGGGUGCAAGCGUUAAUCGGAAUGACUGGGCGUAAAGGGUGCGUAGGUGGCUUUAUAAGUUAGUUGUGAAAUCCCCGGGCUUAACCUGGGAACUGCAGCUGAUACUGUAUCGCUAGAGUAGAGUAGAGGAAAGUAGAAUUUCCGGUGUAGCGGUGAAAUGCGUAGAUAUCGGAAGGAAUACCAGUGGCGAAGGCGGCUUUCUGGACUCAUACUGACACUGAGGCACGAAAGCGUGGGGAGCAAACAGG